CUAAUAAUGGAGCAAAGUUGACUGCACAAUUUUUCUGUUGCUUCAGUUUUGUCUGGUAAAUAAAAUGCCUGGAAGGACAAAACAAAAAUGUCUAAUGGAAUAUAAUUCAAGAUAAGUAGGAGAAAACCUGAAAACAUCCAGCUGCCUUUGAUGAGUUUAGGUCACUAGGUCCAGAUGAACCACAUCUUCAAGUAUUAAAAGACCUUGAAAAAGUGAUUGCUGAACCACUUUCAGGGAUCUUUGAAGGGCCUCAGAGAAUAAGAGAGGCUUACGAAAUUCUUCACUCAAAGCAUCACUGUCAGAUUGGUCUUGUGGAAAAGAAGCUGCCCUUGUUAGCAAACCAAGUUCAAGAGUUUUGGAACUCAUCCUUGCUGAGAGAGAAAUCAAGUAAAGUCAAGAGGCAUUUAUUAAGCACCAGUCACAGAAAAAGCAGAGUCAAGACAAUGUAUGUAUACUCUGGGAGCCUGAAAUAAAUGAAAAAGCUGACUUCAAGAGUGGGCCUGCUUGUUUGACACCUCUGAGCAUCAGUGAAGUACAAAUUGGAGGACAAAUUAAGGCCAGGUUUGGGAGUUCUGGAUUUGAUGGAAAGCAGAGAAGAGGGAACCCAUUGAAAGAGGAAAGAAGAUAUGUCUUUUCAUAUGAUGUUAAGUUGGAAGGGGCCUCAGAUGUCAUCUAUCCUGACACCCCAAUUUUACAGAUAAAGAAGCUAAUGGCUAAGAAGGUUGCGACUCAUCCAAGCUCACUUAGAAAACAACUGUCAGAAGUAGAGUCUGAACUUCAUUCUUCUGACUCCUUCCAUCAAUCUUUCCAGUUUAAAUGACAUUUUCUCCCCUGAAGAUUAAAUAGCAUGGGAAUUAAAAAUCUUUCUGGAAGAUGUAUGGUAAAGUUAUUACUUGAAGAUAUACUGCAUAAUUGAGAUGAAUGUGAUAUGUUGUCCAGAGUCCUUGGCCCAUAUGUAUUAUUUUCCAAGAAAUGUGUGUAAAAUAUAAUUGUCCAUAAUCUUUAAUAAAGAUUAAGCUAUGAAAACA
RNAcentral lists this long non-coding RNA (1028 nucleotides) under Monodelphis domestica (gray short-tailed opossum). RNAcentral's name for it is "lncRNA (ENSMODG00000050505.1)". The record is from RNAcentral. Lineage: Eukaryota; Metazoa; Chordata; Mammalia; Didelphimorphia; Didelphidae.